AUCAGUGGAAACAGCACGUUGAAUCCUUACAGAUAAGUGAAAUUAAGCAACGUUGACCGUGGUUAGUACCUGUAUGGGUGACCAUCUGGGGAAUCCGCGUGCUGCUGGGU
RNAcentral lists this ribosomal RNA (110 nucleotides) under Diaphorina citri (Asian citrus psyllid). Lineage: Eukaryota; Metazoa; Arthropoda; Insecta; Hemiptera; Psyllidae. The record is from RNAcentral.